SARKKCGCCCUUAGAGUUUGAUCCUGGCUCAGAACGAACGCUGGCGGCGUGCUUAACACAUGCAAGUCGAACGUGAUCCAGAGCUUGCUCUGGUGAAAGUGGCGCACGGGUGAGUAACGCGUGGAUAACCUGCCCUGGUAUCUGGGAUAACAUCUCGAAAGGGGUGCUAAUACCGGAUAAGCCUACGGGAUCUUCGGAUUCUGCAGGAAAAGGAGGCCUCUAUUUAUAAGCUUCCGUAUCAUGAUGGGUCCGCGUACCAUUAGCUAGUUGGUGGGGUAAUGGCCUACCAAGGCGACGAUGGUUAGCUGGUCUGAGAGGAUGAUCAGCCACACUGGAACUGAGACACGGUCCAGACUCCUACGGGAGGCAGCAGUGGGGAAUUUUGCGCAAUGGGGGAAACCCUGACGCAGCAACGCCGCGUGAGUGAUGAAGGCUUUCGGGUCGUAAAGCUCUGUCAGAGGGGAAGGAAUGAAACGUGCUAAUAUCACGUUUUCUUGACGGUACCCUCAAAGGAAGCACCGGCUAACUCCGUGCCAGCAGCCGCGGUAAUAC
RNAcentral lists this ribosomal RNA (552 nucleotides) under uncultured Geobacteraceae bacterium. RNAcentral's name for it is "bacterial SSU rRNA". It matches the Rfam family "Bacterial small subunit ribosomal RNA", at positions 1 to 526 of the family's 1533-position model. The record is from RNAcentral. Lineage: Bacteria; Pseudomonadati; Thermodesulfobacteriota; Desulfuromonadia; Geobacterales; Geobacteraceae.